UGAGGUUGGAGCACUAAGUCGGACUUCUAAUCUGUACUUAAUUCGGGUUGCGUCGAAUAGCCUUAU
RNAcentral lists this transfer RNA (66 nucleotides) under Pinctada maxima (silver-lipped pearl oyster). Its description in RNAcentral is "tRNA-Ser". Lineage: Eukaryota; Metazoa; Mollusca; Bivalvia; Pterioida; Pteriidae. The record is from RNAcentral.